Quercus robur (English oak) is the source of this 870-nucleotide long non-coding RNA. RefSeq lists it as uncharacterized. Lineage: Eukaryota; Viridiplantae; Streptophyta; Magnoliopsida; Fagales; Fagaceae. The record is from RefSeq and is a predicted model, not a curated record. The transcript has 3 exons.
CUUUGAUAUUCACGGCUGCUGGAGUCUUCAGAAAAUUCCAAAACUUCCAUCAUGUAUACAUACUGUAUUUAUAACAAGAUGCAAUUCGCUGGAUUCACAAUCUAGAAUAAGAUUAUUGAGUCAGUUUGAAGAAAAGGUUGGGCUUCCACGGAAUAUUGUAUGUUCAAGGGGAUUAUCGCUUCAAGACUACCCAUCUGAAACAGACUGUCUCAUUUAAACUUGAUGGUGGUGGAUACAAGCUUGUACUUCCAGGAACUAAAAUUCCAAUUUAUUUCAACCAUAGAAGUGUUGGAAGUUCCGUAUCAUUCUCGACUGAUCAGAAAUCUCUAACAUUUGCUUGCUGUAUUGCUUUAAAAGUGGAAGUGAAGGAUACUGUGCUAAGAAAUCAAAUUUGAUGGGGCAAGGAGGUGCUGAGGCAACCAUGAUCAUCCAUCAUGCAUUUCAGAGAAUAAGCCAAAGCAGAGUAAUAGCCAAAGGCAUACCUAAAAUUGCCACCACCACAAUUGUGACUAAUGGAGAGACAACACCAACAGGUGCGUUGAAAUAUGUUGGUGCUGAAAAUCCCUAAUUAUGUCCACCACAAUGUCUCUACUUUUCAAAUUUCAUGGAUUUCUUGAAGUUAUGGACAGCAAAACAUCAACAAUCAGAAUGUCAGCAACAAUAAUACUCCCACCAUGACACUACCCAUCUUUCUAGCCAUGCUGUUCGAUACCAAAGGCCAAGAGAGUAUGGAGACUUUCAAAGACAUAACAGGGGUGUCCUAAUCUGCUUUAAAGAGAUAACUGUAAAAGCCUUUUGCAGGUGCCUUUUCAUACUGAUUGGCACCGACAUAAUAUUAUGGCAAUAGAUUAUGGUUGAAAUUUUGCUAAA